GAUGAACGCUGGCGGCGUGCCUAAUACAUGCAAGUCGAGCGAACGGACGAGAAGCUUGCUUCUCUGAUGUUAGCGGCGGACGGGUGAGUAACACGUGGAUAACCUACCUAUAAGACUGGGAUAACUUCGGGAAACCGGAGCUAAUACCGGAUAAUAUUUUGAACCGCAUGGUUCAAAAGUGAAAGACGGUCUUGCUGUCACUUAUAGAUGGAUCCGCGCUGCAUUAGCUAGUUGGUAAGGUAACGGCUUACCAAGGCAACGAUGCAUAGCCGACCUGAGAGGGUGAUCGGCCACACUGGAACUGAGACACGGUCCAGACUCCUACGGGAGGCAGCAGUAGGGAAUCUUCCGCAAUGGGCGAAAGCCUGACGGAGCAACGCCGCGUGAGUGAUGAAGGUCUUCGGAUCGUAAAACUCUGUUAUUAGGGAAGAACAUAUGUGUAAGUAACUGUGCACAUCUUGACGGUACCUAAUCAGAAAGCCACGGCUAACUACGUGCCAGCAGCCGCGGUAAUACGUAGGUGGCAAGCGUUAUCCGGAAUUAUUGGGCGUAAAGCGCGCGUAGGCGGUUUUUUAAGUCUGAUGUGAAAGCCCACGGCUCAACCGUGGAGGGUCAUUGGAAACUGGAAAACUUGAGUGCAGAAGAGGAAAGUGGAAUUCCAUGUGUAGCGGUGAAAUGCGCAGAGAUAUGGAGGAACACCAGUGGCGAAGGCGACUUUCUGGUCUGUAACUGACGCUGAUGUGCGAAAGCGUGGGGAUCAAACAGGAUUAGAUACCCUGGUAGUCCACGCCGUAAACGAUGAGUGCUGAGUGUUAGGGGGUUUCCGCCCCUUAGUGCUGCAGCUAACGCAUUAAGCACUCCGCCUGGGGAGUACGACCGCAAGGUUGAAACUCAAAGGAAUUGACGGGGACCCGCACAAGCGGUGGAGCAUGUGGUUUAAUUCGAAGCAACGCGAAGAACCUUACCAAAUCUUGACAUCCUUUGACAACUCUAGAGAUGGAGCCUUCCCCUUCGGGGGACAAAGUGACAGGUGGUGCAUGGUUGUCGUCAGCUCGUGUCGUGAGAUGUUGGGUUAAGUCCCGCAACGAGCGCAACCCUUAAGCUUAGUUGCCAUCAUUAAGUUGGGCACUCUAAGUUGACUGCCGGUGACAAACCGGAGGAAGGUGGGGAUGACGUCAAAUCAUCAUGCCCCUUAUGAUUUGGGCUACACACGUGCUACAAUGGACAAUACAAAGGGCAGCGAAACCGCGAGGUCAAGCAAAUCCCAUAAAGUUGUUCUCAGUUCGGAUUGUAGUCUGCAACUCGACUACAUGAAGCUGGAAUCGCUAGUAAUCGUAGAUCAGCAUGCUACGGUGAAUACGUUCCCGGGUCU
RNAcentral lists this ribosomal RNA (1372 nucleotides) under uncultured bacterium. RNAcentral's name for it is "bacterial SSU rRNA". It matches the Rfam family "Bacterial small subunit ribosomal RNA", at positions 28 to 1381 of the family's 1533-position model. The record is from RNAcentral.